Molecule: long non-coding RNA, 318 nt
Organism: Myripristis murdjan (pinecone soldierfish)
Lineage: Eukaryota; Metazoa; Chordata; Actinopteri; Holocentriformes; Holocentridae
Exons: 3
Source: RefSeq, a predicted model, not a curated record
GCAACCGCUGGGCGAAGGUGUUCGUGCUGGACUUCCCUCCACGCUUGAACAUCGAGCCUGGCCUGCAGGAGCUGUUCCGCCAGGAGUUCCGCCGUGUCGCAGCACGCAUGGGUCUCCCAUACGUGUCUGUGGCAGAGCACCUCCCGAUGGAUCGUUUGGAGCUGUGGAGCCGUGACGGUGUAAGUACAGCAUACUUUGUUGUUGUGACAUGACACAUGGAGGAGUUGAAGGUUUCCAUUUUUGAUACACAAGUUGAGCGCAAUGUGUUCUGCGUUUCACUGUUUUCCAGGUGCACCUCAGCGACAGCGACGGGACGCC